Molecule: transfer RNA, 607 nt
Filed under: Acinetobacter baumannii
Lineage: Bacteria; Pseudomonadati; Pseudomonadota; Gammaproteobacteria; Moraxellales; Moraxellaceae
Description: intergenic spacer
Rfam family: tRNA (bases 60-133)
Source: RNAcentral
ACGAAAGAUUGACGAUUGGUAAGAAUCCACAACAAGUUGUUCUUCAUAGAUGUAUCUGAGGGUCUGUAGCUCAGUUGGUUAGAGCACACGCUUGAUAAGCGUGGGGUCACAAGUUCAAGUCUUGUCAGACCCACCAUGACUUUGACUGGUUGAAGUUAUAGAUAAAAGAUACAUGACUGAUGAUGUAAGCUGGGGACUUAGCUUAGUUGGUAGAGCGCCUGCUUUGCACGCAGGAGGUCAGGAGUUCGACUCUCCUAGUCUCCACCAGAACUUAAGAGAAGUUCGGAUUACAGAAAUUAGUAAAUAGAGAUUUAGAUCUUGGUUUAUUAACUUCUGUGAUUUAAGUAUCACGGUAUUAAGCAUGACCUGACGAAGGCAUGUUUAUUCAUUAACAGAUUGGCAAAAUUGAGUCUGAAAUAAAUUGUUCACUCAAGAGUUUAGAUUAAGCAAUUAAUCUAGAUGAAUUGAGAACUAGCAAAUUAACUGAAUCAAGCGUUUUGGUAUAUGAAUUUAGAUUGAAGCUGUACAGUGUUUAAAUACACAGUACUUCGAACUGUAUGGAUGAAUGAGAGAUCAUUUGUUCUGUUGCUACACCAACUUGUAGGUG